CCGGCGUGGUGUUCGGCUGCCUGAUGCCGGCGCCCUGGCUGGGCGCGGCCGCGGGCCUGCUGCUUGCGCUCGGUCCUGCGGCCGGGCUGCCGGAC
This 95-nucleotide transfer RNA is filed under the name Cupriavidus yeoncheonensis. RNAcentral's name for it is "tRNA-Ala". Lineage: Bacteria; Pseudomonadati; Pseudomonadota; Betaproteobacteria; Burkholderiales; Burkholderiaceae. The record is from RNAcentral.